RNAcentral lists this ribosomal RNA (465 nucleotides) under uncultured bacterium. RNAcentral's name for it is "SSU rRNA". It matches the Rfam family "Bacterial small subunit ribosomal RNA", at positions 26 to 518 of the family's 1533-position model. The record is from RNAcentral.
AGGAUUAACGCUGGCGGCGUGCCUAACACAUGCAAGUCGAACGAGGUAGCAAUACCUAGUGGCAGACGGGUGAGUAACGCGUGGUCAACCUACCGUUGAGUGGGGGAUAACUAGCCGAAAGGUUAGCUAAUACCGCAUACGAGUCUCGGGGGCAUCCCUGAGCCUUAAAAGGAGCAAUCCGCUCGAUGACGGGACCGCGUCCCAUUAGCUAGAUGGUGGGGUAACGGCCUACCAUGGCACCGAUGGGUAGCUGGUUUGAGAGAGCGACCAGCCACACUGGGACUGAGAAACGGCCCAGACUCCUACGGGAGGCAGCAGUGAGGAAUUUUCCGCAAUGGGCGCAAGCCUGACGGAGCGACGCCGCGUGUGGGAAGAAGGGCCUUCGGGUCGUAAACCACUGUCGAAGGGGACGAUAAUGACGGUACCCUUGGAGGAAGCUCCGGCUAACUACGUGCCAGCAGCCGC